UGUGCGUGUUAGGCUUCCUUUUCAGUGUAGGUACUGUUGGUCAUGGUAGAGCAUGAUUAAUCACUGCCAUUUGAAUUUUAAUAUUUAUUUUGUUUUAUCAGGGUAAUUUCUAGAAGUGUGUGUCUACUCUUCAUGGAGGACACAGGCUUCUGCAUGGAGUUUUAAAAUGUGUUGUGAUCACCUCAUUGUGACCUGAGCUGCUGGGCUGCAUCGCAACGGAAUGUUCACCUUUGUCUUCAUAUGUCAAUGAGCUGUGGGACAGUUGAGCAUACUGAAAAGCUAUCCCUGUACAAGGCCGGAUCCACACUGAUGCUUUGCCCCUUCUUGCCAAGGGACCACAUUGUUAGAGACAUUGGUUUGGGGUGUCUUUAUAACCAUAACACGGUGUGAGAUUUUUUUUGUCGUGGUAUCUGAAGAUCUUGAAUGAGUGGUGCUUGCUGUGUUGCAUGCUUCUUCUGGUGCUGGGUUGCUGUCUCCUGUUUCUUUUUGUCUCACCAGGGUCCACCUGAGCAGGGGUUUCGCAUUGGCUGAUCCGACUUUCCUAGACUGAGGAGAAUCCACCAAUUGUAUAGCAGUAUUUAAGAGCCAUUUUAAUAACUUUUCCACACUUUUUGUACUAAAUUGUAAUAAAUUUGAAAUACAUUUAUAUACCUGCCUCUUGUCAACUGUCCCUUUGCGGGGAAAAUAUAGAGUUAGCUACACUACAUUAAGGGAAGACUUGUGGGUCCUCCUGCCCAUCAUCAGGGGGUGGCGUAGUCAAACCAUAAAGAUUUACUCCUUGACGGGUAC
Carassius gibelio (silver crucian carp) is the source of this 789-nucleotide long non-coding RNA. RefSeq lists it as uncharacterized. The transcript has 3 exons. The record is from RefSeq and is a predicted model, not a curated record. NCBI's taxonomy places the organism in Eukaryota, Metazoa, Chordata, Actinopteri, Cypriniformes, Cyprinidae.